RNAcentral lists this ribosomal RNA (236 nucleotides) under uncultured bacterium. RNAcentral describes it as "partial 16S ribosomal RNA". It matches the Rfam family "Bacterial small subunit ribosomal RNA", at positions 337 to 585 of the family's 1533-position model. The record is from RNAcentral.
UCCUACGGGAGGCAGCAGUGGGGAAUAUUGCACAAUGGGCGCAAGCCUGAUGCAGCGACGCCGCGUGAGGGAUGACGGCCUUCGGGUUGUAAACCUCUUUCAGUAGGGAAGAAGCGAAAGUGACGGUACCUGCAGAAGAAGCGCCGGCUAACUACGUGCCAGCAGCCGCGGUAAUACGUAGGGCGCAAGCGUUAUCCGGAAUUAUUGGGCGUAAAGAGCUCGUAGGCGGUUUGUCG